AUACGGAGGAUCCGAGCGUUAUCCGGAUUUAUUGGGUUUAAAGGGAGCGUAGAUGGAUGUUUAAGUCAGUUGUGAAAGUUUGCGGCUCAACCGUAAAAUUGCAGUUGAUACUGGAUAUCUUGAGUGCAGUUGAGGCAGGCGGAAUUCGUGGUGUAGCGGUGAAAUGCUUAGAUAUCACGAAGAACUCCGAUUGCGAAGGCAGCCUGCUAAGCUGCAACUGACAUUGAGGCUCGAAAGUGUGGGUAUCAAACAGGAUUAGAUACCCUGGUAGUCCACACGGUAAACGAUGAAUACUCGCUGUUUGCGAUAUACGGCAAGCGGCCAAGCGAAAGCGUUAAGUAUUCCACCUGGGGAGUACGCCGGCAACGGUGAAACUCAAAGGAAUUGACGGGGGCCCGCACAAGCGGAGGAACAUGUGGUUUAAUUCGAUGAUACGCGAGGAACCUUACCCGGGCUUAAAUUGCAGAUGAAUUACGGUGAAAGCCGUAAGCCGCAAGGCAUCUGUGAAGGUGCUGCAUGGUUGUCGUCAGCUCGUGCCGUGAGGUGUCGGCUUAAGUGCCAUAACGAGCGCAACCCUUGUUGUCAGUUACUAACAGGUUCCGCUGAGGACUCUGACAAGACUGCCAUCGUAAGAUGUGAGGAAGGUGGGGAUGACGUCAAAUCAGCACGGCCCUUACGUCCGGGGCUACACACGUGUUACAAUGGGGGGUACAGAGGGCCGCUACCACGCGAGUGGAUGCCAAUCCCAAAAACCUCUCUCAGUUCGGACUGGAGUCUSCAACCCGAUUCCACGAAGCUGGAUUCGCUAGUAAUCGCGCAUCAGCCACGGCGCGGUGAAUACGUUCCCGGGCCUUGUACACACCGCCCGUCAAGCCAUGGGAGCCGGGGGUACCUGAAGUGCGUAACCGCGAGGAGCGCCCUAGGGUAAAACUGGUGACUGGGGCUAAGUCGU
RNAcentral lists this ribosomal RNA (952 nucleotides) under uncultured bacterium. RNAcentral describes it as "bacterial SSU rRNA". It matches the Rfam family "Bacterial small subunit ribosomal RNA", at positions 523 to 1489 of the family's 1533-position model. The record is from RNAcentral.